RNAcentral lists this ribosomal RNA (781 nucleotides) under Pseudomonas sp. RNAcentral describes it as "bacterial SSU rRNA". It matches the Rfam family "Bacterial small subunit ribosomal RNA", at positions 79 to 856 of the family's 1533-position model. Lineage: Bacteria; Pseudomonadati; Pseudomonadota; Gammaproteobacteria; Pseudomonadales; Pseudomonadaceae. The record is from RNAcentral.
CUUGCUUCUCUUGAGAGCGGCGGACGGGUGAGUAAUGCCUAGGAAUCUGCCUGGUAGUGGGGGAUAACGUUCGGAAACGGACGCUAAUACCGCAUACGUCCUACGGGAGAAAGCAGGGGACCUUCGGGCCUUGCGCUAUCAGAUGAGCCUAGGUCGGAUUAGCUAGUUGGUGAGGUAAUGGCUCACCAAGGCGACGAUCCGUAACUGGUCUGAGAGGAUGAUCAGUCACACUGGAACUGAGACACGGUCCAGACUCCUACGGGAGGCAGCAGUGGGGAAUAUUGGACAAUGGGCGAAAGCCUGAUCCAGCCAUGCCGCGUGUGUGAAGAAGGUCUUCGGAUUGUAAAGCACUUUAAGUUGGGAGGAAGGGUUGUAGAUUAAUACUCUGCAAUUUUGACGUUACCGACAGAAUAAGCACCGGCUAACUCUGUGCCAGCAGCCGCGGUAAUACAGAGGGUGCAAGCGUUAAUCGGAAUUACUGGGCGUAAAGCGCGCGUAGGUGGUUUGUUAAGUUGGAUGUGAAAUCCCCGGGCUCAACCUGGGAACUGCAUUCAAAACUGACUGACUAGAGUAUGGUAGAGGGUGGUGGAAUUUCCUGUGUAGCGGUGAAAUGCGUAGAUAUAGGAAGGAACACCAGUGGCGAAGGCGACCACCUGGACUAAUACUGACACUGAGGUGCGAAAGCGUGGGGAGCAAACAGGAUUAGAUACCCUGGUAGUCCACGCCGUAAACGAUGUCAACUAGCCGUUGGAAGCCUUGAGCUUUUAGUGGCGCAGCUAAC